CGACCUCGGUAACUGCUAAUUUAGUUUAGAGGAAAGUCCAUGCUCGCACGAGCUGAGAUGCUCGUAGUGAUUGUGCUAGUGGAAAAAAUAACACUAGGUAUGCGGGAGCGCAUAACGGCGAGUCAAAACCUAAGGCUUAGGCUAUGGUUAAGACUCUGAAAGUGCCACAGUGACGUAGUUUAGUGGAAACAUUAAAGUGGAACGUUGGUAAACCCCACAAGCGAGAAACCCAAAUUCGGUAGGGGAAGUGUGCUAAAAGAAAUGAAUGGCGGCACGCAUGCACUUACGUGCAUAGAUAAAUAGUUACCCUUUGACAGAACAUGGCUUAUAGGG
This 333-nucleotide RNase P RNA is filed under the name Bacilli bacterium. Its description in RNAcentral is "RNase P RNA component class B". It matches the Rfam family "Bacterial RNase P class B". Rfam says of the family: Ribonuclease P (RNase P) is a ubiquitous endoribonuclease, found in archaea, bacteria and eukarya as well as chloroplasts and mitochondria. Its best characterised activity is the generation of mature 5'-ends of tRNAs by cleaving the 5'-leader elements of precursor-tRNAs. Cellular RNase Ps are ribonucleoproteins. RNAcentral also lists the same sequence under 1 other name. Lineage: Bacteria; Bacillati; Bacillota; Bacilli. The record is from RNAcentral.